This is a long non-coding RNA of Helianthus annuus (common sunflower), 542 nucleotides long. RefSeq lists it as uncharacterized. The transcript is spliced from 3 exons. Lineage: Eukaryota; Viridiplantae; Streptophyta; Magnoliopsida; Asterales; Asteraceae. The record is from RefSeq and is a predicted model, not a curated record.
AACAAAAACAAAUUAAACCCCAAACACAGUGAGUGUGUCUGGGGGAUCGAUCGAACAAGGCAGGAGGAGGGGGAAACCCUAAACUCAAGAAAUCAAGCAAUUGAAGCCUAAAAUCAUAAGAAAAUCCAGUGCAUGAGCCCUCUUAUCGAUCAUCUAAGCAUACCUAGUAAAGUGCUUGAAAGAAUAAGAACCAUGUCAAGAUGGACCAACUCAUGGGAAGCAAACGGGUCAAAGAGGAGGCAAAGAAACUAGCAUAAACAUGGCGAGCACAAGGUUUAUGAAUGUCGGACUUUCGAAGUGUUGAUAUAGUAAUGAAAUGAUUGAAUGUUGGAAGGAUAAUCGGGUUGAAGUAACUUAAGCGGUUAGAAUAUGCUAUGGACGUUUUAGUUUAUACAAUAUUUUAUGUUUGGUCGUCACCACCUACUAACGGGUUAGUUGUAUGAGAGUAUAUGUCAUACCCAUUUAAUUGGGUAAUCGAAUGCGUAAGAGAAAUGAAAGUACGUACACGAAUGGAACUAAAAUGACGGUUUUAUAAGCAAACA